UUUAAUAGCAUCCCGCUCUUAUUUCAGAAUAAAAAAAUUUUUAAGGUAUGUUGAGUAAGAAUCUAUAGAGCAAUGAAAAUGCAAGAGCAAUAGCUAUGGGCACCAAAUGGUCAAUCUUCUUAUCAUAAUGUUGAGUGGAAGAAGCCAGGUCCACCAGACACAUGCUGCUCAUUUAUGCAAAGUUUGGACACAGGCAAAACAAAACUAGUUUGAUCGUGAUGGGAAACAUUAGAGAAAUGCAAAGACAUGACCAUCAUAAUUGUCAGGAGAAGGCAUUGGUUAGGAUUGGGAAGCGGCAAGCAGAAGCAUUUAGGGAUUGGCUGGCAAUGUUUUACUUCUCGGCUGAGUGAGGGUUGCAUCGGUGUUUAUUUGAUAACACGUUCUAGGGGCUGGGCAAGAUGGCUCAUGUUUGUAGUCUCAGUACUUUGGGAGGCCAAAGAUGGGAGGAUUGCUUGAGCCCGUGAGUUUGAGACCAGCCUGGGUGACAUAGCGAGACCCUGUCUCUACAAAAAAUU
Molecule: long non-coding RNA, 515 nt
Filed under: Homo sapiens (human)
Lineage: Eukaryota; Metazoa; Chordata; Mammalia; Primates; Hominidae
Description: lncAB520.1
Source: RNAcentral